AACGAACGCUGGCGGCAUGCCUAACACAUGCAAGUCGAACGAGACCUUCGGGUCUAGUGGCGCACGGGUGCGUAACGCGUGGGAACCUGCCCUUAGGUUCGGAAUAACUCCCCGAAAGGGGUGCUAAUACCGGAUAAUGUCUUCGGACCAAAGAUUUAUCGCCUUUGGAUGGGCCCGCGUUGGAUUAGCUAGUUGGUGGGGUAAAGGCCUACCAAGGCUACGAUCCGUAGCUGGUCUGAGAGGAUGAUCGGCCACACUGGGGCUGAGACACGGCCCAGACGGCUACGGGAGGCAGCAGUGGGGAAUAUUGCACAAUGGGCGGAAGCGUGAUGAAGACACGCCGCGGGCGGGAUGACGGCCUUCGGGUUGGAAACCGCUUUCGCCUGUGACGAAGCGUGAGUGACGGUAAGGGGUAAAGAAGCACCGGCUAACUACGUG
This 438-nucleotide ribosomal RNA is filed under the name uncultured bacterium. RNAcentral describes it as "partial 16S ribosomal RNA". It matches the Rfam family "Bacterial small subunit ribosomal RNA", at positions 29 to 507 of the family's 1533-position model. The record is from RNAcentral.